Molecule: long non-coding RNA, 1227 nt
Organism: Podarcis muralis (Common wall lizard)
Lineage: Eukaryota; Metazoa; Chordata; Lepidosauria; Squamata; Lacertidae
Source: RefSeq, a predicted model, not a curated record
AAAAGGCCUGGCGCCGGAUUCCUAGAGAGGAGGGCGGGCGCAGGUCCCUCGCUGGUCUCUUCCGGCUCGGCUCUCUCUCCUCCCGGGAGCCUCGGAGGGCGAGUCUUUCUUCCCCCGGGGGAGGGGGAGCCGGUCCCGGGGCCGCAGCCGGGGUGCGCGGGGACCCCCAGGGCAGGAGGGAGCUGAGCAUCGCGGCUCUUCCUCGGGGUCCGGGGGAAACGGGCGUGCAAAGGACGAGAGACAAAGCAGAUGAUUCACAGACGGGGAAGCCAGGCAGAAGCAUUUGGACAUAAAUAUCUGGGCAAAAAAUGAACACCUGAGCCCUGCAAUCCGUAGAGAAAGACGGUCGGAAGAAAAGGAAGCGCGUCUUCCUGCGGUGAAGUAUGGAUCUCCCUCCCGCGGGAGGCAGGCAGGGCCUCCGAGCUGGCAAGAAGGACGGGUUGUUAGCCCCCGGGGGUGGGACGGGGAACCUCGCCUGGCAGCUCUCCGCCCUCACAAGACUCCCACAAUCAGGGCCGGAAGGUAAAUGCAGGCAUGCGAUAUAACAGUCCCGCACAUCUGCAGCAGGAGGAUGGAAAGUCCCAACAUUCCGAACUAACCCCGUUCCCCGGGAUUCUUUGGAAGCCAUGGCUCUUUCACGGGGUCUGAUUCUGCUUUGAAGAUCAACCAGAUUGAGCCAAGUACUGAUGAUGUGUGUGUUUUCUUCUGUAACCUCAAGGGGCAACAAAACCUCUGCAAAUUCCAGCAGGCAAGUUCCCCACUUUCUUAAGCGCUGUCCCUUGGCUCCACCCCCACGUGCUUUGAACUUACCCCCGUCAUCCUCAGGGGGUUGGCCAGGACUUGUUAGUGCUUCUAAUUGGGACAGACAGAACUUGGCAGAAGAAAAAGGGAUCUCCGCGAGGCUUCAUGAGAGCACAAAUGGAUGAGCAAGACUCAGCUGACCCUGAAGCAGGAAGAGGCCAUGCUAUCAAAACUGGGAGCAGUGGGAGUUUCUGGGGAAACUCGCUGCAGAAGGUCCUGGGUGAGGAGGACACCCUCUGCUCAGAGGUGCAGAGCCAGCAGUUCAGGCAGCUCUGUUCCCUGGAGACUGAAGGACCCCGAGAAGUUUGCAACCAAUUUUACCGUCUUGAUGGUCAGUGGCUGAAGCCAGAAAGGCAUACAAAAGUUCAGAUGCUGGACCUGGUGAUCAUGGAGCAGUUCCUGGCUGUCCUUCCACUAGAGAUGGAG